AGCAUACAAACUAGGCCAAGAGCAGCUCCUGCAGAGAUCUGCACAACAGUCAUUGGAAUGUGUCUUGUGACAUCAAGAUGGACUCUUUGCUUACCACACCUUUGCCCUGCCCAGGUGCUUCCCAACAGCAUCUCCUCCUCUUCUCUAUCCAGAUGGAAAAGCUGAAGGAUCACGGAGCACUGAAGCUGGAAAGCUCCUGUGGAGUUUGUCUGGGCCAAUCCCUGUGCAGAGCAGGGCAGUUCCACAUGACUGCAAGGCCUGGCCACCACGGAGAAGAUCACAGGAAGCCUGGGAAUGGCUGAGCACAGCACUGCUCCUUAGACACCUGUAAGUAUAAUGGCUUUGGGAGAAACAGAGCUGUUUCAGAAGUGGUCUGAACUAAACAGAGAUCUCACAGCCCCCAUUUGGUAGAAAAAUGUCAUAUGCAAGAUGGAUGGAAAGCACUUUUAGUUAAUCUCUUUGCAGCAAAGAUACAGCUGCUAUUGGUGACAUUCAGGCCUUGUGACUCUCCAGGUCGAGGCCAGCAUGCAAAACAUCACAUGAGAUUCCUUUGGGUGUGAACAGGAGCACAGCUACCAAACAAACACAUGCUUAAACUCUCCUGUAACAAGCAAGCCCUGGCAAGAAGCAAAGUAUGUGAAAUGCACUACUUCUCCUCAUUUAAUAGUGCUGGCACGAGAGUCAGGGAGUUUUCCACCUGUUGACCAAGCUGUUCUAUAUUACAAAGAAUAAAUAGUUGAAAAAAUAACCUAUACCAAGUGAAAUUUUCCCCUGAUAUUUCCAGCCACUCCUAAACAGCCACAAAAAUCUAUAGAGGCAUGACCCCCAGGCUUAACCAUCGUAUCUUUCAUGCCUGAGGAGGACGGCAGAGAACAGACUGAGAGUGAGAAUAAAUCUUCAGAGUUUCUGUGUGGCAUCAGACAAGCUUUCAAACUCGUGUCCUGCUUACACCAUAACAACAUAGCAACAUAAAGUUAACAGCCCGUGCUUGGUGACCUCAGGCAGGGUGGACUUCUGGACUAACUACCCAACACAAAGCAUCUUCCAAAAAACUCAGUAUCUGGACAUCUGGGAAGAAGAUGGGGAUUAGCCAAGCAACUCCCCAGAGAGAUGACAAGAAAGUUGAACAGUUACUAAUUUAUUGGGGGAAAAAAAAAUGCAAAUUUCUUUGUAAAAUUGACACAUAUUUACCUUCAAUGUAUAUAUAUAUAUAUAUACUUUUUUUACUUACAAUAUAUACCUAUUAAUUUGGAUAGGAAUUUAAGUACAAAAAAGUUUAUUUCACUUAUUCCUUUAAGAACAUAUUUUAGUGCAGCAAGCUUUGAAAAUUUUUCUGCAGAAAAAAAAGCUCUACAAAAUUCACUUUUUAAGCAAAACUAUAAGCUUUCACAGUUGCUCCUACCUUUCUCCUACUUUCUUAAACACCAGCAAUUAAACAUUUAGAUGAUGGUGAUCACCGAGGGCAGGAAAAGACACUUUCUCAUCUUAUAUGGAGCACGCCAUAGCCUAAAAGGUAAAUGCUGUCUACAAAUCAUUACCUUACAGUUGCUGCUCCUUGACAAGGGAACUUUCAUACUGAUCCAAAUGGAAUUUUACCCUGAUUAAUUACUUGCCAGAUUCACUCAGAGACAAGUUUAGGCAGCAUGGAGUCAAAGGAGAGAAUGAGGAAUGAAAUAUUUUGGCACAAAAACAAGUGCUUCUUAAAGGCAAAGUGUCUUCUCUGUAAUUACAACGUUGAACUUAGAUUUGGAACAUUUUUUUUUAAUUUGCUACUUAAGCCUAUGCUAUCUAGAAACCCAACACACUUCCAUUUUUCUUAAUAAGUUAUUUUUGUUUCUUAGACGAUUUUACUUGACUGUUCAUGUGCAGUGACAAAACUCAUUAAAUGGAACUUUUGCUUGACAGCAUCUGAGUUUAUUCUAGAAUUAGCUGUGCUCCUCUCAAAAACAGAAGCAAAAAUAAUUUAAUACCUUUUCAGCAUUAUAACCACCAGUUUCACAAUGGAUUAUGUGGUUGCCUUCAGACCACAGUGUAACACAUGCCCCUAGAUUAAUGUUUAAAUUAAUAACUAUGUAUUUACAAUAGAACCCAGCACCAGUAUUUCUCAAGAGCACAGACAGAUGUAGUUAAAGGCAGGUUUGAAUCUGCAUAUGCUCACUGCUUCUGCCUAAAUUCUGUGUGUCCUUCAGUGUGCUCUGAUUUAUGUGGACUGUGACAGGUAAUGAGCUACCAAAAAUGCCCAAGUACCAGUGGGAUACCAGGCUCCAAAAAUUGACUUAGUGAAUUCCAGUCCAUUAGAUCAGAUUACAGUGGUCUCACCCUUACAUGGCUAAGUAAAUUAAUAUUUUCAUUAUGAAAUCAGUACCCAAAGUACCACAGUGGAGGAGGCAAUAGGGACCCCAUAACCAGCCUGGUUUAAAGAGCGUGCUCUUCUUCCCUCUGGACUCCUGCAUAGUAAAUUGGAGAGCAGGAGGAAUAAGGAAGCACACAGACAGGAAUUACCACACCACCUGCAUUAACAGAUUAUGCUGAAGCAUGUGUUAACUGUAACAUUCAAGUAUGUUUUAUUAAGUGUUAUAAAAUAUAUACAAUCUCAAAACACAGUGCAUUUUGCACACAGUUUGUCAACCCUCAUGGGUAUCACUACAGCAUUCAAUAGAUGACACACUUCCUUAUGAAAUCAGCAGACCAGAAAGCUAGGAAAA
This is a long non-coding RNA of Passer domesticus (house sparrow), 2705 nucleotides long. RefSeq lists it as uncharacterized. The transcript has 3 exons. The record is from RefSeq and is a predicted model, not a curated record. Lineage: Eukaryota; Metazoa; Chordata; Aves; Passeriformes; Passeridae.